RNAcentral lists this unclassified non-coding RNA (13519 nucleotides) under Leishmania donovani. RNAcentral describes it as "gene:LdHU3.23.1220(CDS-product:RNA-binding_protei n_putative)". The record is from RNAcentral. Lineage: Eukaryota; Euglenozoa; Kinetoplastea; Trypanosomatida; Trypanosomatidae.
ACAAGCACUUAGAUACGUAGGUAAAUCUUUUUUCUUCCUUUCCGAUUUUUUUCUGCCCUUUCCCCUCUCCCCUUCGUCUUCUCAGUCUCUCCCGUUCUCGUUCUCUCGUUUCCGCUACCAUCGGGUUGUGUUCGUAUAAACAGAUCUUCCACUGCCAGCCCUCGCCCAUCAUCGCGACUACAACCACGGCCGCCACCCCCUCCCCUGCCAUCGCACAAAACGAGAGACACACCCACAAGCAAACGAAAAAAGAAGAAAGAGCCGCCGCAACAACAACAGCGACAACAAGAGGCGUUUUUACAUACACUUGCGCUUACAUACAAACGCUUUCAGGUGAGAUCGCCGCUUCCUCCACCCUCCUCCGAUCGUCAGACCUUUUAUUUCCCUCCCCCUUCUCUCCUCUCCUUUCCCUGCCGGCGACUCUGUGCGGUCCCUCUGCGUCCUGGUCUGCGUUACGUGUACACCAUACCCACACCCCCUUCUCACCGCGUCUAUUUUUCCUUUUAUUGUUCGUGUUCGCGGUGUCUUUUUCUUUUUUUAGUUUGAACUUCAUCAAAGGUCCGCAUCCUUUUCUCCCCCCACUCCCUCCCACACCCACAUCAACACCACCAACCACUUCUUCUUUUUGUUUUCGCUUGCCUUCGUCAUUGUCAGCAUCAGCCACACCAUCAUCUCAUCAUUUUUUUUCUUUCCCUUAUUGUUUUCUUGUGCUUGUGCUUGUGCUAGCGUGUGCGUGUGUCUGUCUCUCGCUCUCUUUACGGGGUGUGUUGCAACUUCUCUAUAUUUUUUUUUGUGUCUUCGUGCUCCUUUUUUCCCUCUGCUUGGUGUGAGGAAGGUCCUAUCAAACUCUCUGCCCGUUUUGUGCCCUUUACUCUUCCACCACCACCGUCACCUUGCCUCUCCCUCUCCUGUUGCUUAUCUCUUUUUACUGUGUCGUUGCCGCGAGGACGCAACCUGCCUCUCUCCAUACAGUAUCAUCACCGGCACAGGCAGCGUCUAGUAGUGGUGUCCCUACAUAGAGAACACUCACGCACUCACCGGUAUCUGGUGCGCACCUGUCCCCACGUAAUAUAAGGACAGGCAGACAAGCACACCUUCGAGGCUCCGGCGAUAAGCACGCGUGCGUGGAGAGGAGAACAGAAGACGAAGGAGUACGAAGAAGGAAAGAAAAAAGGAGGAAGAAGAGGUGACUGCUCGGCUAACACGGAGGUUCCCGCAACCGCGACACGAGUGAACGCAGCGCUUCCCCCUCCCCCCGCUUCCUCCCUCACGUUGGAUAAUACACGUACCAAAAGACGUGGCCCUCUUCUUGUUCUUCUGCUUCCCUUUCUGCCGUUACUCUUCUCCUCUUUACAUUUUUUCGGUGUUUUGUAAGAAAGAAACACAGCCGCAGACAGACAGACGAACCCCCCUUUCCCAACCAACAACACUCCCCCACCCCUCACACACAAGAUACCUCCUUUUUCUUUUUUUCGUUCUCUCUUCCGACCUUACCCCCCUCCCCCUCAACAACAAAAAACUAAAACACACACACACAUACAUACACAACACAAAAACGAGUAUAUAUAAAGAAAAGAAGGAAGGCGGACCGAACAAGCGAACAAGUGGGAAAAAAGGGAAAGAAAGAGAGCUGUACAGGGCUCACGCGUACAUACACAGCUGUUUGCUUGUCGCUCACGCUUUCACGCUUACGCCUCUCUCUCCCUCACUUUUUUUUCUUUGCUUGUUUGCGUUCUCGUUUAGGAGAGUUGUCGUUGUACAUAUUCGCGCGCGCUCUCUCGGUUCUUUUCUCUGACUCUUCCUCGGAGCCUUUCCCUCGUUCUUCUGUGUUUGCCGUUGUCGUUGUGGUUGUUGUGGUGGCUGUGGUGGUUCACGGUGAGCUGCUCCCUUCCUGUUCUUCUUGUAGUGCCUCCCCUCAUCUUUUAUUGUUGUUGUCUUUUUUUGUCCUUUUCGCGUGUUGUGUCCUUCUUUCCCUCUCGCCCCCUCCCUCUCCCCCUUCUUGUUUUUUGAGCGUAUUCCUCUCUUUCCCUAUUUCCUCGUGUCUUGCCUCCUCCCUCUCUCUGUGUUUGUGUGUGGCUGAGUCUGUAUCACUGUUCUGUGCACUAGUGGUAUCUGCAUUUUUAACUGUUCCCUCACUCCAGCGACACGCCAAUCUGUUUUCUCUCUGUCCCCCUUUUUUUUGUGUGUGCGUGUGCACGCUUGUUUCCGCCUUUGCCAUUAUCCUAUUCUCUGGCGUCUUUGCGAGUCUGGCUGUACGCGAUCUCGUUUUGCUACUCGGAGUGCCACUGACCUUGGCAGUCUUUCAUCUCUCUUUCUAUUCUCUCUCUCCUCCUUGUCGUCGUCGUCCUCCUCCUUUUCCUUCUUUCUUUUUUGUUUUGUUUUUCCCCACGCCCCCCGCUCACGCCUCCCCCGCCGUCUCUACGAGUACUCCGGCUGCCGCUCGUCCCAUCGAUCUGACGCACGGAAAGAAAGACACACACACACACUAUAUAUAUAUAUAUAUAUAUCUUUCACGCACACACGCACGUAAAGUAGGAAAAAAGGGAAGUAUAUCUCGAGUUCACCCCGUCACCACCUCUCCAACGCGGCUCCACACCGAAGUUUCUUUACGCCUUCGUGACCUUCUCUGUCUCUCUCUCUUCUUUAGUCUUUCUCUGUGUGGGCGUCGUUGUUGUUCUUGCUGGAAUAUACCAAGGGAAGGACUCUUCAUCAUUCACCUCGCCUCCUCCUCCUCCUCCAGCCGCUGGGUCAACCACAUAAGUGUGCACAGAGGAGGUGUAUCAGUUACUGCUUGCCUUGCCGUUUUUUUUUCUUGUCCUGACGGAAGUUGUCGUUGGUGUCUGCUCUCCUUUUAUUCUGCUCUGAUCCCUUUCACGCCCACAACUCUGCGUUCGACCUCUCUUUCUCUCUUAGCGUGUGCGUGCAUCUUCUUUCACUCCUUCAACCACUUUUUAUAAGUGUUUUGUGUCGAUUUGUGCACCUUUUUUUUGUUUUAUUUCGCCCCACCACCCCUCUCCGUGCUUCAUCAUGAGCGCCUCGCCCGUGCCCGACACGUUCCACAACAACUCGACCAAGGAGUUCUCGCUUUCGUUUGGAUCUCACGCCAGCGGGUCACAGAGCGAGUCGGGCAUCUCGCAGCGGCUGGACGGUACACACAACUUUGCGACGUCGUCGAUUCUGUCGUUCGACGUGCUGCCAGCCACCGGCGUGAUGGCGGACCACAAGUCUCAGCCUCCAGAUGCCGUUCUCACCGCCGCGGCCGCGAUGAAGGCGACGCCGCAGGCGCCGUCCAAGAAAGGCGGCAAGGGUGCUGCUCGUUCCGCAUCGAUGACCGAUGGUGGUUCUCCUGUUAUAGACCAGGCCCCGACGCCGUCGGCAGAGCCAGUCAAGGUGAAGAAUCAGAACGUCCGCCGCAAUGUGUACAUCUCUGGUGUGCCGCCGACCUACCGCUCGGAGGAUUUCCGGCAGCUGUGCCAGCAGUUUGGACGGGUGGAGGCAGCCAAGCUGUGUGUUGACAAUCGCAAUGCCCCGACGAAGGCCUACGGAUUCGCGCUGUACUACAGCGAAGAGAGUGCGGCGAGCUGCAUCCGCGGACUCAAUGGCAGCUUUUUGCAGGGCCGCUGUGUUCAGGCCCGCCUCGCUGACUCUCACGCCACCCCACAGCCGCUUGGGGAUGCUGGUGCCGCCAUAAACACGACGCUGCCGCCGCCCUCGAUGCAGCGCGACCGCCGUGACAAUAAUAAUCGCAGCCGCCGCAGUGGUGGCUCUCGUCGCGGCUCGCAGGGUCGUCGUGCUGUCAACAACAGCUCCAUCCCCGGCGCAGCUGUUGGCAACAGCGGCAUGCCGAUUCAGAUGCCAUUCAACCCGAUGGGGAUGGCUGGCGCUAUGCCGAGCGGCGGCGCGAUGCCCAUGCCGAUGACGCAGUACUUCCCUUUUAUGGCUCCUGCAGGCGGCGCUGUGACGUCCACCACCGCACUCACGACCUCUGCUAUGGAUGGGCACAUGGCCGUCAACACGUCGCCGUCGACGACCUUCUUCACGGUGACCCCGGCGAGCUGCAGCCCACGCACGGACUGCGGCUUUGGCGCGGCCGGCACGCCUUUGCCCGGCUCUCUCACCCCUGGCGGUAGCGCCAUCAAUGGCGCUCAACGCGGAGGCGCGCCCACGGCCAUGUCGGCUCUGUCCCCGGCAUCCAUGGCUCUCAGUCCCCCGCUGGACUCCCUUCACUCAUCCGACAGCUGCUCCUCUCUGGGGUCGGCGACAGCGGCGACGAGGGGGAACGCCAACGGCGGCCCCGGCGAUGCGGUGGGCAACAACGCUAAUUCUCAAGCUGUCGUUUCCCCCUUCAACUUCCCCUUCCCGAACAUGGCACCCAUGAUGCCGGCGGGGUCUGCGCAGAUGAUGGUCGCGACGGCAGCAGUGAACGGCGCGAACGGCGCGACCUCGACGGAGUGGGCGGCGCCGCCGGCGGCAACAGCCGCCUUCGUGUACUAUCCUUUGCCCACUGGCGGGUACGGUGCCUUUCCAACUACCGCCGCGACUGCGAAUGGUGUCAGCGCGUACCCUGGAUCGCCGUCACCGUCCGGUCCGCCGGCAGCGACAGCCACUGCGAACCCCAUGGCUAAUGGGACAGUCCCGUUCACAUACUUUCCAAUGGGUGCGGUGCCCAUGAACAGCACUGCGACGGGGAUGCCGGCGCUUCCGCCCUACUUGCCGUCAGCCCCCGUCAACGCCAGCAACGGUGGCGCAGAGGGCGUUAGCGGACUGCCGCCGAGCGUCGUCAUGAUGGACAAUGGGAUGGGCUUGCGGCUACAGAUGCUGCGCUGAAGACAAAAAGGAAGCAAAGAUGAAAACAAAAUAAAGACACAAACAUCGAAAAUCGUUCAAGGUGGCGAUCACGUGGACAAGGAAAAAAGUGAGCGGCUGCACGGAUGCAGCACUCGCUACACAGAGCUACUAUGGUCUGCAGCAUCGUGCCUGUAUGUGCGUGUGCUGCUCUUUUUCUUGUUCGCCUUUUUUUUUCCGUCCCUUUCUCUCUCUGGGAACGAUUUCGAAGUCGCUUGUCUCCGAGUUUCCCUGGGUACGCGGCAUAGAGCUUCACCUCCUUGUCUAUGUCGACCUCUUGCUUGCUUAUUUGUGUUAUUUAAUGCACGUUGCGACACUAAUAAGAGGGGCCACACUGCCUUGCGUCUCCAGUGCUACCUUCUCCCCCCUCCUCCCACCCAAACCCAGCAGCCCGAUCGAGCUGCCCGUACUUCCUCUUUCUCUUCUGUUCUCUUCUGCUGCGCGCAUAUAUGCGUAUGUGUCUGUGUGUCUGUCCCUGUGCAUGUGUCGCAUUACUCGAUGUAUUCUCUGAUGGUUCCCUGCUUCUUCUUCGAUCCCUCACCGGCGCCUCGCUGUUUUGUGCAGGCACACACUGGACUCCUGCGCUCACGUUUAGGCGUGUGUUUUUUCCCCCGUAUGUGCGCCUAUGUGCGUUUGUGCAUAUCGGUGCGUGUGUGCAUGUGGGUGGGUGCCAUCUGCUGUUCAUCUGGAGAUGUGCCGUUCUUGCGCCACCAUUGCUGUGCCCCCCGCCCCCACCCCCAUCUCUCUCUCUUAUCCCUCGCGCACAAGAACGUUUUAUUGGUAUCACUGUUUGCUUCACUCUGGUAUCUUUCGGACUCCCACGUUGCCCUACUUUGGCGUCCUGUGCAUCCACUGGAUUCGUUUUCUCUUUUAUUCGUUUUUUAUUAUUUUCCAUUGCGAUGCACUCGUGGAAUACACCGCAGGCGUGCCAUCACUACUCAGCAAGCUGUAUACAUGCAUAGAAAGAGAUGAUGGUGCGCCCGCCAAAGUAAGAUGAGCAGAAAACACACACACACACAGAAAUAAACAAGACGGUACAUUCACACGUGCGCCCCCUUUUCUCCUUUUUUCUUGUGUGCGUCUGCGAGUUUGUGCCGGCGCCUUCCUGCCUCUCUCGCUCUCUCUUCUCUCGUCCUUCUUCUCUUGCGCCCUCUUCUUUUUCGACGCGCCCUCCACGCUCUCCCCUGCUCACUGCACGCGCCUAUAUACAACGUGUUGGCUCCUUCGUUUUAUUCUGCUUUCUCACGCUGCUGCCACUGCUGCUAUUCCCAUGUACAUGAAAAGCAACCAACCAUCACCACCACAACUACCACCAUACAGAAAGAAAGCUAAAAUCGCACUCUGGCACAUACAACGAAGGCAACAUACAAAACACACACACACACACAGCAGGUCACACUGUUGGCGUACGCACGGGGAGUGGGCGGUGAGAGACGUCAAGCGCAGAGGGAAGAGGAGACGUGCUAAUUUGGUAGCUGUCUAAAGAACGGCACUAUCUGUGAUGGAUGUGCUUGCCCGCGCACCAUCAUGAAAAUAGAGAAACACCUCCCAACCUUUCCUUUCUCCCUGGCCGCACAGGGCCACGCGGGGACAUGUGUGAAGGAGGUUCGACGUUUUUUUCUCCCCUUUUCCACACUAUUGCUUGGUUUUCAGUUUUCGUUUUAUCACGUCCAACGCUGCUCGUUUUUCUGCAGGCGAGACGGGUGAUGAGGCAAUGCGGGGAGGGGGAGGCCUCAUCAUCCUUUUCUUUACGUUUACGUUUUCGUUGUCUCGUUCUGACGCCGCUGCCCUCCUUUUUCUUCUCGUUUGCAUUUUUUUUUCACCUUUCCGUUCUGGUUUUGGUAUCUUUCUGUCUCUGUGUGCUUUCCCACUCGCGCCCUGCCUUGAGCGCUUUACUGCCCUUGGUGUGUGUGCUUGCGUGCUUCCUUCUACUGGGUGCACGAUCACUCAUGUAACCCCUCCCCCCCCUGAUGUACACCCCCUCUUCUUUUUGUGUCGUUGUCGUCGUUUCUUCUUAUGACGUCCUAUAUGUGCUGUUUCUCUUUCUCUCCCUGGUUAUUCUUGAUUUCAUCCUCGUAGCAUUGCGGUAGCGAAAAAAAAAGGACGAGUGGGGGAGGGGGGAAGGGGGGGGGGAAGGGGGCGUAGAGAAGACGGCGGCGCGUAGGAAGCGAACAAGCAGACAGGAAACUGAGUAGGCAAGGAACGGGUGUUGGCUGGCGGGUGCUUCAGAAGAGGGGGGGCCCUCCAUCCACCCCUUUGGACUAUACCCACCUCAAGGCUUCUUUCUACUCCCACCUUCCCACCACGCCGCCCAUCUGCCAUUAUAUCAAAGGCCUCCGCUCCUCUGUUUUCUGUUGCGCACGCACACACACACACAGACGGUGUAUCUCUACGUAUUUCUUUCGCCCUACUUUUUUUUUUGGUGUGUGCUUUUUGUCCAAGUAUUACUUGUUGUUUGUAUUUUGUGCUUCUCCCACCCAAAAAAAAAAACAUUCACAGGCGUGUGUGGCGCUCAUGUAGCGCACGUAUGUAUGGCCACUGUCCAUGUGGGCCAGGAUCAAGAGCUGAGCCUCUCCCUCUCUAUCUUCUCUGCUCCUGUCGCUCAGAUAAGCGGCCACUUCUCCACACAUGCGCCAACACACAUGCACACGCAACCGCGCAACGAGGAAAGUGAGGAAAGGGACCGAAAGAUUUGAAGAGACGCACUUGAUUGUCUCAGUUCUUUCUGUGGCUUACCUUCAUCAUACCUGCACCCAGCACUUCCCUUUCCAGACCCAAGGGUUCUCGACUCCUUUUUUUUCGCAUUUUUCUCGCGUUGAUUCCCUUCCCUCCGCACCAGUUUAUUGUCGUUCUUUCCAUUCCCUCUCAGACCGUUUCUGUCUCUGUGCGUCUGUGGCGGCUCUGAGUGCCGAUGGUCUUGCCGUGGGUGCGGGUGUCCGUGCGUUUCUGUGCGCUCGUGUUCAACACGAGACGUUUUUCUUUUUUUUACUGGUGCUAUGUUUGUGUUUUCUUGAGUGCGCAUUAACCGUCUUUCACUCCUUCCUCCCUUUUUUUUUCACUUCAGCUUCCUCCAUUUCUCUCGUUCUUGUCUGGCGUCCAUCGCUUUAUCUUUCCGAACUUCUCUUCUUUUUUUUCUUAGUUCAGUUUCGCUCUUCUUCUUCCCCCUUCCCCCUCUUCUUCCACUAUCUUGUCUCUCCUUCCGACUUGAAGGACAUCAAAAACAGCAACCUGAAAAGGAAAAAAAUUAAUAGGACCUUCUCCUCCUCUCCUCUCUCUUGAUAGCGGCGCUGCUCGUUGCACUGCUGUUCAGUGCUUGGAGCGCUGAUGCUUUUUUCUUUUUUUCUUUUUGUCUUCGCUCCUCCCCCAUGGCAGGCCGUUUCCAUCUUCGUUUUAAGUUUUUUUUUGUGCCCGUCUCCGCUGUUGUUGCUCGCACUUUUUCAUGCGUCGUUCCGCCCAAGUGUUUUUAGCCCUCUUUUUUACCCCCUCCCCCCGUUUUCCUUCUCCUUGUGCUUGUGUUGGGACGUCUCCUGUUGCCGCUGCUGUGUGUCUGAGUGUGUGUUUUCGCUUUCACCCCGUCCUCCUCCUUUUUUUCCCGCACGCUUCGCUUCAUUUUUUGUGCGUGCGCUCGCGCACGGCUGUGCUCUGGUGGCGUCCCUCUUUUCGUCGACGUUCGUCUUCGAUCUCGUUUGGCUCUCCACGUGCUGUUCUCUCUCUAUUAUUAUUUUUUUAUUUCUAUUAUUAUUAUUUUUUUUUUUGCUCCCCUUUUCAUAGGUACGUGCGUGUGGGUUGGUGCGACACGGGCACACUCUUUCUUUCGUUUCUUUUGGCACGAGGAGAAUGCCGUAUAACCGCCACUCCGUUCUCCGCCUCUUUUGGUUUUCAUGCCGGGUGUUGCCUGGUGCGCUGUUUCCUUCAACUCCCUCCCUCUUUCUCUCUCCCGCGUCGCUCACCGUGCUUGGCAAACUGGAAAACAAAAAUGAACAGCACAGGGGAACAGCGGCCGUUCCGAUGGAGGGCAUUGGCUGAGUUUUUCCAGUCGAAAUGCUCGGCUCAUAGGGGAGUUGUAAGGGUAUUCAGUGGGUGGGUGGGGUGUGCGCGCGUGUGUGUGUUUGACGGACUCCUGCAGGAACCCCGAUACACAAACACACCUGUAGUGUAACCCUCCUCUCAUCCUUCUCCUUUAUCUCCUUCGUCCACCACGUCUGCUCACCCCACACCCCCUCCUUUGGGCACUGAAGCUUGUACCACUCCUCCGACUCGUUUUUCUUGUUUUCCUUAAACUCUUCGUUUAUAUCGCCGCCCAUCUCCCUGUCUCUCUGUGCUCCCUCCUGUUUUUCGUGUUUUCUUUGAUUUCGUCUUGCCGUUAGCGGCAUCGGCUGGCUAGAUGCCCUCUGCUUUCCUUUUCCUUUGUCCUCAGCGUGUUGCACACCUCCAGGCUUUCUGUUUCCUUUUAUAUUCAUUUUGUUGCGCUUACCCUUGUCGCGCGUGUGUGUGCUGGUUGGUGUCUUCCUCCCUCCCCCCUUGCACGCGUUCGUGGUGCUGUCAUGGAUGGCCGUCUUCCCUCUUCCUCGCCAAACCUUUCCCCCUUUUUUGCUUUGGCUCUUCGUCUACCCUGCACCUUUUUUUUUUCAUUGCCUUGAUUUGCGGAGCCCCGGUUGACUUGUGCUUUUAACCAUCACGGACGUGAUCGCACACGCACAUAUGCGCGCAGUGUACCUAGGUUCUUUUUUCCGUGUAUUUUUUUUUUCCAGCCUCUUAAAUUCGACUCUCUGUCUGUCGGUUCACUGUUCUCCUGCCUACGAGGGGAGGGGCAAAAGAUCGCUUGCCCCCCCCCCUCUCUCGCGCGCGCUGAAGUAUCUCUAGAAAGUGGCGCUCAGUACGCUCCCUUCUUCACCUUGAUCUUCUUUGGUCUCUUUUUGUGUGUGUUUUUCUUUUUCCGUGUUGCCUGUUGUCGGACGUGCUAUUUGUUUAUUUCUGUGUUUACGCUUUCCCCAUUUUUUCUUCCCCCUUCCUCCCCUCCCCCAUCAUGCUCGUUGUGGGAGGGCUGCCGUCGUCUUUUAUUUCCAUUCUGAGGAGCAGGAUGUUUCUUGCCUUGCCUCUUUCUCUCUCGACUCUCUUUUUUCGCUUGUUAUAUUUUCAUCACCCCUUCCCUUUCUGUUGUUUGAAAAUGUUUACCUGUUCUAUCAUGUUGUUCUUGUCGUACCGCUGUCCAAGCUCGCGUUACUGUUUCCCUUGUUCUUCGUGCCACUCUUGCGACUUCACUGUCUUCGUGUAGGGUUUUUUUUUGUGUGUGCACGUGGUGAGGUAUGAUCACGUUUUUCUUUCAAGAAAACACACUAUAUAUGUUCCUCUUCCCCGGCUUCAGUCUUUGAUACCAUUCUUUUCCUCCUUCUCUCGCUCUGCGAGUCUGUCGCCGCGGCAUCUUGCUGUGGUGUAGCCCCCUGUCGCUGCCACUGCCUCUUGCGUUGGACAGAAUGAGAGCUUGGGGGAGGGGGCCGAGGAGAAGCGGUGAGAGUUGCCCUUUUUCCCAAACCUCCCCGUACUGCCGUAGUGCGUUCUCCAUCGUGCGCCUUUUCCCCUUUUUGUUGUCUUUUUUUUUCGUGCGCUUUUUUCUUCAAUUCCGGUCAUAGAGGCCUCCACGCGUGUGCGAGUGUGUGUUUUCCUUUCUUUGGAUGAAUAAGUGUGCGUGCAUGUAAACGGGGAGGCACUUGCGCGCAAAUGUGAGCAGCUCCUCCUACUCCAGCAGCAGCAGCGGAGCGUCCGCGCGCCGUGGCUCUUUUUUUUUCGCGCUCAGGCGUUGAUCCCACUCCCCUCCGUCGCCGUCUCCGUUCCCGCCCCCGCCCCUGUCAUUCCUCAAAGAGGGAAGAAGACGCAACAUACACCAGAAUAGCAAAAUGAAUGCACCACGUGGGGGGGGGUUGGGGUUUGGCGAAAAAGAUGACAGAAAGGUUGAAACGAAACUCAGCGACACAGAAAAGCGUGCGUGACGGAGAUGUGGACGAGAGGAUGUGCCCGCCGAGGAACUGGCUGGGUGCAUAUCUAAAAAGUAAGCUUCGUCUAGUACAGCGUUUUAUGCACGCCACUGCGCACGGUGAGCAACACCUGCACAGUCGUAUCAGUGACACGCGUGUACUUGGUCGGAUCUUUUCCUCUCAUCUAUUGGGAUUGGAGAGUGCGCCUGCGUAUCUCUCUGGCUAGCCGGUGCUUUUUUUUCCUUGUUUCGCUUACUUUUUUUUUGUGUCGGCGAGCCCCUUCCUCCCUUCCCCCUCCUUCUUCUCGUUGGCCCUCGCCCUGCAUCCUCCUCCACUCUUUUUGCCAUCAUCGGUGAGCGCGGCUCAGCUUGUAGUGACGCGCGAAACGAAAACAAAAAAAAAACGGGAAAAUACCUCGCUCUUGACAUGUCUCGCUGCCUUGCAACAGAACCUGCUGCUUCCGGAUUCACGGAAGAGAGGAAGAAAGCGGAAUACAUUAUGGCCCGGGUCAAGGACCCACCCGGAAGCGAGUUCAUGACACACCCGCAUACAUCUCUAUGUGUGUCCGCUUGCAUGUUUUUAUCUUGCGACGGCGUAUAUGGGGCGGUACAGAACAGCAGAUGCCCCCUGCUCCUAUGUAGUACAUGCCUUGAGGCAGAGAGAGAGCGAGCGAGCGAGAACGGCGGAGUUGCCAAGCAAGAACAAAACGAAACGCGUACUGAACCCUUGCGCCUUCUCUUUUUUUGUUGUGUGUGUGUGUGUCAUAGUGGCGUAGGCAAUCUUUUUUUUGGCUUCGUCUUGUGUGUUUGGUAACAACUCCAGCAAACAUGAAAAGAGAGCGCCGGCUUCAUCUGUGUCUGUGUGUGUGUCCUUCUUCCUUGUGAGUGCGUGGCGAGGCCGCACGCCUUCACCGACCGGAUUUCAUUUCUAUUUCUCUCUUCCCUCUGGAGAGGCUGACAAGAGCGAAGGGAAGCAACGCGACCGGUAGACUUAUCCCAACGCACUCCGGGCCUGAAGGACGAGGAUGUACCUUUGUGGUGUGAGUGGCUGCACAUAUAUAUGUGUAUAUAUAUGUGGACGCAUGCACACGCACUCACGCACACACCUACGCGCGCGAAGUAGAGCACGAAGCACAGAGGUAAAGUGCACCAAUGGAAGCACGAAGGCUCCAAGAACUUAAAACCAAUAAAAAGGAAAGAGGCUUCCACUUGUCGGAUGGACUAUCCAAAGAGCGACAACGGAUGCAAAGAAAAAAAGGUUCACCGCUUCCUCAUAUUUUUUGUUUUACCCCCCCCCCCCCCCCCCUUCGCCCAAUUCUUGUUGCUGACGCCUCACCCAGCCUUUUUUUUAUGUGUGUAAGCGUCACUCGCGGUUGAAAAGAGAAGCGAUACAGGAGGCUGCGGCGGAACGACGGCGUCCUCAUGGAGGGAAAAGAGUCAUCAAGUGACUCUCCUCCGGGCUAGGCACACAUACACAAUCAUACACCGACACGCACCCUCACGCGAAGCAGAUCCUGUCAUGGAGUCCUUGUGAAGGUGUGCCCUGCCCGAGCUUUCUCUCUCUCCUGUUUGAGACUCCUCGUCCCCUUUUGUAGCAUUCUCUUACCUCCUCCUUUUUUUCUUGUUUGGUUACUGUUGUGGUUGUUUGGAGGACUGGUGUGCUGCUCUGCUUUUCUUCGUGGCUUGGCUUCUCCCGACUCCAUCACCCUCCCUUGUUUGUCGGUGUGCGUAAUACGGAGAAGAAGGCACACACACACACACACACACACCAAAAAGAAAGGCGACGCAGCAGCAACAACACCCCAAAACCCUCUCCCCUCUUCGGAACAGUAUACAUAUAUAUAUAUAUAUAUAUACACGGACAUCCACUUGUAUGGCAUCUUACCCGUUUUCGUGUUUUGUCGCCGCCUUGGGGAAGGGUGUAUGUGUAUGUGUAUGUGUGUGUUUGUGCGUAUGCGGACGGCACAUGGUAUAGUUAUGGCUGCUGCCGUGACGGCUGUGAAUGAUGUUCUUUUCUUUCCGCCAGCCUAGCAAUGUGAAAGCACACACUGUUUUUUUUUUAUUGAAGCUCACUCUCUCUGUGCGUGCAGACGUUUUUUGUGUCUGUCGAGAUUCUUUCGCGCUAUUCUUCGUUCUUUUUUUUUCGCCUUCUUCCUCUUCGUGUCCCCCUUUUUUGCUUCUCAUCUUGAGUCUGACCGGAAAACAGAACAAACAGAUCGAAAAACCAGAAGAAACACACGUGCACACACACAGACAGACAGACACGCCGAAGCCAAGAGAGACGGAACGCCCACGCAGACGAUGGAAGAGAGACACGUCUGAUCUUUGAGAGUUGACUUGUCAGGAAGGGCGGCGUGCUGGAAGAGCACCUCUCCCCCCUCCCCCUCUUCACCCCUCCCAUGGCGCGCCUCACAAGCAUUUUGAAAAGAGAGAGCACGAAGCGACGGCGAUGUAGGCAAUGACAGCUUUUCUGCCUCUUAUACGUCAUGAAGCUCCCCACUCUGUUCUCUUCCGGACAGCCCAGCAUCACGCCACAUGCAGACACGCUGAUCUCAAGGCCAUCUUCAGUGAGUGCGCGGCAGGGCCACGCAUCUGCACGCAUCUCUGCUGUUCUGUGCCGCCCUUUUUACCACUACGAGCACCACCCUCUUACUCCCCGUCUCUCUCCUCCUCUCUUACGAGUUUUUGUUCCUGCUUCAUCUC